GUGGGUAUAGCUCAGUGGUAGAGCACAUGCUUAGCAUGCACAAAGUCCUGGGUUCAAUCCCCAGUACCUCCA
This 72-nucleotide transfer RNA is filed under the name Camelus bactrianus (Bactrian camel). It matches the Rfam family "tRNA". Rfam says of the family: Transfer RNA (tRNA) molecules are approximately 80 nucleotides in length. Lineage: Eukaryota; Metazoa; Chordata; Mammalia; Artiodactyla; Camelidae. The record is from Rfam by way of RNAcentral. RNAcentral also lists the same sequence under 2 other names.